UUCCACUCAUGAUUUGGAGGCACAGUCAAAAACUAUAUUGCCCUCCUCCCAUCCUCACUACAAAUUUGUGCAUAAGCUGAACCAUCAUCAAGUACCUUUGUUUCCAUCCGAGUUGUAAUAAUAUAUGGUUGUCCUAAAAUAAGAGGAUAAGAUGUUGCAUCUUGAACAAAAUUUUUUUGUUCCAUUGUAACAUCACCAAUCCAAAUUUUCACAUCCGAGCAAGUACCAUAUAACUCCUCAUGUGUAUUAUUGGCUGUCCGUAUUGCCCACCCAUGCUCCAUGUCAAUUGGCCACCUUUGCUUCAUAUAAAAAUCUUUAGACAUAAGGUUUAUCUCUGAACCAUAGUCAAUCAAAGCAACAACCGGUUCAUCUUUAUCUCCAAUCUUCACUAAUGCCUCUGUAGUUGCUCUAGCCUAAUACUUUCAAGUAUAAUGACUUGAAAUCUUUCUAUCUUUAUUACCUUGAUCAUCAAAACGUACCCUUUGAUUAUAACUCCUCCCUUCACUUGUUGAUUGUUUGUAACAAUUAUCGAAUACAUCUUCUUCACCUUCAUAUAUGUAUGCAUUAAUAGCAUGAUUUAAUCCUGCUUCUCCCAUUAAUUGCCUCUUUCAUUUAAUACUGUCAAUAAUGACAUCAUGGAAUUCUUUCUUAGCAAUUCCUAAAAUUUCUUUCAAUGUAAAUUCAACCUUAGUAUUGAGCACUCGUUCUUCAAGCACUCCCUUUAAAUCUGUUGCCGCUUCAAUAUCAGAGAGUAGUUUAUAAGUUG
Molecule: long non-coding RNA, 766 nt
Filed under: Physcomitrium patens
Lineage: Eukaryota; Viridiplantae; Streptophyta; Bryopsida; Funariales; Funariaceae
Description: long non-coding RNA (PPAT_LNC004929)
Source: RNAcentral